GAGCAGCAUGAAUCACCAGGGCCCCGAGUCACGGGGACAACUGUUUGCAUUUUUCCUGGGAGGCUGAGCUAUUUUGCUGACUCGGUGACAAAUUCCUUAAAGGGAGGACUGAGGAGUCAAUGGGCUACCAGGCUCAGGGACAAAAAGAAGAGGUCUCACUCGGGACCUGAGCCAAGAGCACAGCAUCAGCCAGAGAACUGCUCCUCUCCUGAUUCUACCUCCGAGGCACCUGCGUCAGAGGCCUGACCUGUGGCCAGGACUUUUCACAGCAGUGAAGAAAUUUCAGCUUGAAGGUUAAGAUGGCUACUGGGGAAAUACAUUUAUCUAUUGACGCAGAAUCUGACUACGCUGAGCUGGUUUUAGAUGCAAAAAAAGUUACCCUUGGAGAGAAGGCUAGAAGCAACAUGAAUGAUCAUACACUGAAAAAACAACAGAAAAACACUAUCUUACGAGCUACAUCUGCUCUACUGAAGUGUGCAGGGGGAAUAAUCAAGAUGGAGAUUGAAAAUGAAGACUAUAGGUAUUCAGAAUGUGGAAUAGGACACGAUUUGGAAGAACGUUUUGAACAUAUGGUGCCAGAUGUUGAAAACUACUUUAAUUUCAUGCAGAAAGAAAACAACUUUUUCAUAUUUGUGAAGUCAGGUAUACAUGAUCAGCGAUAUGGAACCUUGAGCACCAAUAUGUACAGAAGGAAUUUGUCGCGUACAGAUGAAAUGAGUGAGGAUUCUGCCCUGAUGUUCCUCAAGGAACUGAAGAAAACUGAAGGGAGGUCAUAUUCAACACUGACGAUGCCUGCUGACAGAGAUUUUGUUGAUGAUAGAGACAGCAAAGACUUAGCUGCUAAAUUUUUUAACAGUGAACUACUUACAUACCAAGGAAAAAUUCCUUUUGGUGAAUCCACUCAUGUUGAAUAUGAAAAGACGCAAACAAUAAUUGGCUUGAAAAAAGGCAUGAAUAACCUCCCAGAGAUAAAAAGAAAAAUAGAAGAGGACAUUCCAAAACUGCCUGUCUAUCACUGCUGCAAGGAGAAGAAGAAGAUAAAUUACACAUGCAAAUCCAUCGAAGUUCACAACAAGGAAGGUCUUUAUGGCUAUGUUCUCGCAAUCAGAAUAGAGAGAUUCUGCUGUGCUGUGUUUGCUAAAGAACCCGAUAGCUGGCAUGUGAAAGAUAACCGCGUGGUGCAGAUGACUUCCACGGAAUGGGUGGAGUUCAUGAUGGAAGGUGAAUCUGGUUAA
Molecule: long non-coding RNA, 1235 nt
Filed under: Cavia porcellus (domestic guinea pig)
Lineage: Eukaryota; Metazoa; Chordata; Mammalia; Rodentia; Caviidae
Description: lncRNA (ENSCPOG00000015303.4)
Source: RNAcentral